UCUAGUUCUUUUUCAUUCUUCUUCUUCUUCUGCCUUCCUCUCUUUUCUUCUGUUCGAUUUCUGCAGAGUGAUUGUGAGUUGCGUGUGAUGAUAUCAAAGUAAAUCAGAUGAAGAAGAGAUGGAUUAGGAAGUAACUGUUGGUGGCGGUGUUGUUGUUGUUUGAGAUCGAGAGAACAAUAAGUGGAUGAUGUUGUAAAUAGAAUUAGGGCUUUCUGUAAGUUGAAUUGGAAAUCGAGUUAGGUGGUGAUAAAGAAGAAACUAGAGUAGGGUUGUAGUUGAAUUGAAAUUCUGAAGUCGUAUUGGAGAUGAACUGAGCUAGGGUUUCUGAAUCUGGUCUCGAGAUUCAAUUGAAGAUGAAAUCUAUGUUCUAAGAUGUUGUUAUGAGAUGGGUUUGAGACGAAUUCAUAGUUGAGUUGAAGAAUUGAUUAAAAUUGAUAGUUAGGGUUUUCUUUCUGUUGGAUUGAAGAAAUUGGGAAUUGGCUGUGAUGAACUGUGGAAGGGUUAGAUGAUGAUGUGCUGAGUCGAAUCAGUCUAAAGAAGGGGUUGAUUUCAAUUGGUGGAGAGAGUCUUUUUGAGGUAAUUUACUUCUUAAUAUCUCAGUAAAGCUUUUUGAUGUCUUUUAAUGAAUUAUGAGUUAUGGAUUGAUGAGGAUGUAAUAAACUGAGAUUAAGAUGAUUAUAAAAUGGAACUGUAAUUGUGGAUAUGAAGAUGUUGUUGAAUUGUGAACAACUGCAGGGAAUGGUUGUUCUUUGUGGUGGUAUGUGUGUGGUAUGAGCUGUGGUUGUAGUUUAGGUCAAGAUAUAGUGAACUGAUGGUGUUGUUUGUUUGAAUGGGUUGAGUUGAUGAUGUUGAGAUGCAACUACAGGUGGUGGUGGUUUAUGAGUUACAAGGCUUUGUAUUGAAGUUGUGUUAAAUUACAGGGAAUGGAGUUUUGAACUAGCAUUGAUGUGAAAUCUCAGAUAUGAGCGACGGAGUGAGCUGAUAAUAGGAUUACAAUUAUGUUUGGUUGUUGUAGAUGGUGAAUGAGUUAGGUUAUGCAUGAACUUAUCUGGGAAGAAGUUUGGUUAACGAAUGAGUUAAUCAGGGUAAUGGUUCUGCAGCUGUUAGUGUAUGAUUGUGCAGCUAAGAAGGAUAAGCAUGAUCUGUGGGGAAGAUAUUUGGUAGUGGUGGUUUCGUAUGUUGAACUGAAGCUGAAUUGAGUAUUCAUAGAUGCAGGGCUAGCUGGUAUUGCAGUUGCAGAUGUUUGAGUUUAAUUGAUACAAUGGGGAUCUAUUUGGGGGUUCAAUAGUUGUCGGUGGUGUUUAGAGGAUAUAUGUAUUGUUGUGUGGGUUGGUGGUUGACUGGAUAUGUAACUGAAGUAUUGGAAUGAUGGAUUAGAUGUUUGUAUGGAGUUGAAAUUCUCUUGUAGAAGCUUGGAAAAGCUGCAAUUGCAGAGGAUGAACCAGUGGAUCAUGGAUCUCGAGGUAGGCGUGGCUUGUCAUCAAAAGAGUUUCAGAGACAGAUUAGAGUUGCGCAGCGGAAGCUUCAAAGAGUUGAUUUCAUUAGUUGGGUAACUUCUACUAUGUUUAUCAUAUUGCAUAUUGUAUCCGUAAACCUAAUGACUAUUGUAUAUAUCAUUUGAGAGGACUUCUUGUAUAUAUAUGUUUCAGAGCGGGUUAGUUUUGGGUUAAGUUUUGUAGCACAUUUAUUAGUUGAAUGAUUAAGUAUAUGAUUUAGAUUUCUAGUGCCUCUACUUUUAGUUAAUCUCUUGGAUUAAUCAGCUGCUAGCUUUGGGGGCGUUACAAAGAUGUUACUGGAUUUUCGACUGAAUGAGCAAACCAUGGCUUGAAUAAAAACCCAGUGGAAUAAUAGAGCGUCAUCCAACGAGCAUAAAUUGGUGUACAACCGCUGAUAUGAUGGUGAAACCUUGGUUGGUUUAGGAUUCACGGGCCGGGUCCGAAAAGGAAAUCCUUAUGGAAUUAGGUUUUGGAAAUAAAAUUGAUAUAAAAAGGAAUUAAUCUCUUUUCUUAUUUAUUUCACCUAGACACAGCCACCACCUUUAUCACCUUUUCAUCUUCACGUUUGAGCACAAGGGAUAGCAGGAGAAAACCUCGCCGGAGCCGCCAGCAUCGACCGGCGUCGGCACCGACCAGAUUCAAGCAAAUUUUAGAGUGUUAACUCUUGCACUACCGUCACUAUUGUUAGUGGAUUGUAAAAAGAAAAUGGUGACUUCCAGUAGCAGCGAUUAUGAUUAUAUUUAUUCCUCCAGCUCUUCCGAUGAGGAUUUCAAAGCUUCUGCAGCCAAAUCGAAAACUAAGAAAAAUCACGAUGAGGGGGCAAAGCCUAAUAUUCCCUUUAAUGACCGGAGAGUCACUUAUGCUGAGCUUAUGAAGAGAAAAGCCGAUGAUGAUGAGGCGGACGACCGUCGAAGUAGAAAGGAUUGAACCCGGCGCCGAAUACUAACAGCUGAGGAAAGACGUCGAUUUGAUGACGGUGUACCUUCCGACUCUGAUGCUUCAGAAGAUGAACCGGUGUGGGUGCCACGGGAUCGCAAGAUUAAGCCAGAUCGUCGUACCAAAGAACUCAGAUAAAUUGCGAAACGAGUCGAGGAUGAAGCGGAAGAGGACUCAGACGAUCCUAAUAUCCAUCCAGAAUUCAUCAAUGGCCCUGACAGUGACUCUGACGAAGAAGAGGAUUCUGAGAAGGAUAAUGAGGAUGAAUCUGAUAAAUCCGACAACUCGGAUGAAUAUGAUGAGUAGCUUUACUCCUGAUCUUACUUAGACAUUUGAAUAUUUUCUUAGCCUUCGUACUAGACAUCUUCUUUAUUUGAAUAGCUUCACUUCAGUAUUAAGAUUUUCCUUUUGAACUAAUAAUGGCGGUUCUUCUUGAUUGAAUCAAACAGAGCCAAUGCUCAUGCACCAAAACC
This is a long non-coding RNA of Papaver somniferum (opium poppy), 2905 nucleotides long. RefSeq lists it as uncharacterized. The record is from RefSeq and is a predicted model, not a curated record. The transcript is spliced from 5 exons. NCBI's taxonomy places the organism in Eukaryota, Viridiplantae, Streptophyta, Magnoliopsida, Ranunculales, Papaveraceae.